RNAcentral lists this ribosomal RNA (2302 nucleotides) under human gut metagenome. RNAcentral describes it as "bacterial LSU rRNA". It matches the Rfam family "Bacterial large subunit ribosomal RNA", at positions 1 to 2300 of the family's 2925-position model. The record is from RNAcentral.
UUAAGAUACUAAGAGCAUACGGUGGAUGCCUUGGCGAUAUCUGCCGACGAAGGACGUGACAAGCUGCGAAAAGCUGCGGAGAGAUGCAAAUAAUCGGCGACCCGCAGACAUCCGAAUGGAGAAAUCCGGCUGUGAUGAUGCACAGCCAUCCAUGCCCAAGAGCAUGAGAAGGGAACCGGGCGAACUGAAACAUCUAAGUAACCCGAGGAAAAGAAAUCAAACGAGAUACCCCAAGUAGCGGCGAGCGAACAGGGAAGAAGCCCAAACCGGUGAAGGAAACUUUACCGGGGUUGAGGACCAUCAGACCCGCGAAGAACUUUAGCCGAAACUGUUGGGAAACAGUGCCAAAGACAGUGAAAGCCUGGUAGGCGAAAAAGAGAAACGCGGAGAUGGCACCGGAGUACCGCGGGACACGAGAAAUCCCGUGGGAAGCAGGGGGGACCACCCUCCAAGGCAAAACACAGAUAUCGACCGAUAGCGCAUAGUACCAUGAGGGAAAGGUGAAAAGCACCCCGGGAGGGGAAUGAAAGAGAACCUGAAACCGUAUGUUUACAAGCAGUCGGAGACCGCUUAAUAAUAAGGUCGACGGCGUGCCUAUUGAAGAAUGAACCGGCGAGUUACGAAGCCUGGCAAGGUUAAGCAGGAAAUGCGGAGCCGAAGCGAAAGCGAGUCUUAAGAGGGCGCAAGUCAGGAAGCGUAGACCCGAAACCACAGUGAUCUACCCAUGUCCAGGUUGAAACACAGGUAAAAAUGUGUGGAGGACCGAACCUAUAUCCGUUGAAAAGGGUUAGGAUGAGGUGUGGGUAGGGGUGAAAUUCCAAUCGAACGUGGAGAUAGCUGGUUCUCCCCGAAAUAGCUUUAGGGCUAGCCUCAGGGAAAAGAUUGCAGGCGGUAGAGCACUGAUCAGGAGAGGGACCUACCCGGUUACCAAACCCAGUCAAACUCCGAAUGGCUGCAAUCAUACCUGGGAGUCAGACUGCGACUAAUAAGGGCCGCAGUCAAAAGGGAAACAGCCCAGACCAUCAGCUAAGGUCCCCAAUGCCGUGCUAAGUGGCGAAGGAUGUGGCAUUUCAUAAACAACCAGGAUGUUGGCUCAGAAGCAGCCACCAUUUAAAGAGUGCGUAAUAGCUCACUGGUCGAGAGACGCUGCGCCGAAAAUGUCCGGGGCUCAAGCACGGAACCGAAGCUAUGGCAUGAUAGCAAUAUCAUGGGUAGGGGAGCGUUCUUAUAAGGAAGAAGCAUGACCGGAAGGACAUGUGGACGAAUAAGAAGUGAGAAUGCCGGUAUGAGUAUCGAAAAGAAAGGUGAGAAUCCUUUCCACCGAAAGCCCGAGGGUUCCUGAGCAACGAUCGUCGACUCAGGGUAAGUCGGGACCUAAGCCGAGGCGAGAAGCGUAGGCGAUGGACAACAGGUUGAAAUUCCUGUACCGGAUCAAGUCGAUCGAGCGAAGGAGCGACGCAGGAGGGCACAUGAUCGCGCGGCUGGAAGAGCGCGUCCAAGUGCGUAUGUUGCAGCAGAGGAAAACCCCUGCAGCUAAAAGCAGAGACAUGAUGGGGAGUUAAAGGAAACUUUGACGAACUCAUGGAUCCCACACUGCCAAGAAAAACUUCUAGCGAGACAAGAUCCGCCCGUACCGUAAACCGACACAGGUAGGCGGGGAGAGAAUCCUAAGGUGCGCGGGAAAACCCUCGUUAAGGAACUCGGCAAAUUGCAUCCGUAACCUAGGGAGAAGGAUGGCCCCCGGUCAGUGAAGAGCAGAAACGCUCAGAGCUAAAAGGGGCGGCAGAAAAGAGGCCCAAGCAACUGUUUACCAAAAACACAGGUGCCUGCGAAAGCGAAAGCUGAAGUAUAGGUGCUGACGCCUGCCCGGUGCCGGAAGGUUAAGGAGAGAAGUUAGCGAAAGCGAAGCAUCGAACUGAAGCCCCGGUGAACGGCGGCCGUAACUAUAACGGUCCUAAGGUAGCGAAAUUCCUUGUCGGGUAAGUUCCGACCCGCAUGAAAGGCGUAAUGAUUUGGGCACUGUCUCAACGAGGGGCCCGGUGAAAUUGAAAUACCUGUGAAGAUGCAGGUUACCCGCGACUGGACAGAAAGACCCCAUGGAGCUUCACUGCAGCUUGAGAUUGAAUCCCGGUGACAGAUGCACAGGAUAGGUGGGAGGCGCCGAAGCAUUGCCCUAGGGCGGUGCGGAGCCGAUGUUGGGAUACCACCCUUCUGUUGCUGAGAUUCUAACGCGAGGAGUAACGACCCUGCGGACCCUCUCAGGCAGGCGGUUUGACUGGGGCGGUCGCCUCCGAAAGAGUAA